AUUGAACGCUGGCGGAAUGCUUUACACAUGCAAGUCGAACGGUAGAGGGGGGCAACCCCCUUGAGAGUGGCGAACGGGUGAGUAAUAUAUCGGAACGUGCCCAGUCGUGGGGGAUAACGUAGCGAAAGUUACGCUAAUACCGCAUACGAUCUAAGGAUGAAAGCGGGGGACUCGCAAGAGCCUCGUGCGAUUGGAGCGGCCGAUAUCAGAUUAGGUAGUUGGUGGGGUAAAGGCUCACCAAGCCAACGAUCUGUAGCUGGUCUGAGAGGACGACCAGCCACACUGGAACUGAGACACGGUCCAGACUCCUACGGGAGGCAGCAGUGGGGAAUUUUUGGACAAUGGACGCUAAGCUGAUCCAGCCAUUCCGCGUGCAGGAUGAAGGCCCUCGGGUUGUAAACUGCUUUUGUACGGAACGAAAGGUUUCUAUUAAUACUAGGAGCUCAUGACGGUACCGUAAGAAUAAGCACCGG
RNAcentral lists this ribosomal RNA (473 nucleotides) under uncultured bacterium. RNAcentral's name for it is "bacterial SSU rRNA". It matches the Rfam family "Bacterial small subunit ribosomal RNA", at positions 30 to 496 of the family's 1533-position model. The record is from RNAcentral.